RNAcentral lists this ribosomal RNA (440 nucleotides) under uncultured bacterium. RNAcentral's name for it is "partial 16S ribosomal RNA". It matches the Rfam family "Bacterial small subunit ribosomal RNA", at positions 338 to 795 of the family's 1533-position model. The record is from RNAcentral.
CCUACGGGAGGCAGCAGUGGGGAAUAUUGCACAAUGGGGGAAACCCUGAUGCAGCGACGCCGCGUGAGUGAAGAAGUAUUUCGGUACGUAAAGCUCUAUCAGCAGGGAAGAAAAUGACGGUACCUGACUAAGAAGCCCCGGCUAACUACGUGCCAGCAGCCGCGGUAAGACAUAGGGGGCAAGCGUUAUCCGGAUUUACUGGGUGUAAAGGGAGCGUAGACGGCAGCGCAAGUCUGGAGUCAAAUCCCAUGGCUUAACCAUGGAACUGCUUUGGAAACUGUGCAGCUAGAGUGCAGGAGAGGUAAGCGGAAUUCCUAGUGUAGCGGUGAAAUGCGUAGAUAUUAGGAGGAACACCAGUGGCGAAGGCGGCUUACUGGACUGUUACUGACGUUGAGGCUCGAAGGCGUGGGGAGCAAACAGGAUUAGAUACCCGUGUAGUC